This 413-nucleotide long non-coding RNA is filed under the name Prunus persica (peach). RNAcentral describes it as "long non-coding RNA (PPER_LNC000673)". Lineage: Eukaryota; Viridiplantae; Streptophyta; Magnoliopsida; Rosales; Rosaceae. The record is from RNAcentral.
CAACAGUCACCAAAUGUCACUAAAUAAUGGUGACUGUUGCCACAUUUUUUUUUUGUUUUUUGUUUUUGGUAGUGAUUGGACAUGGAACUGUGGAAGAGCUUUCCUCAUUAACUGUACCUUUGGAGGCGGACAAAUAUUUUUUUGGAUUAAUCUAUAUGUUUGCACAUUUUCAAUUUCUUGUGAGACUAGCACCUGAUGCAAUGCAGUCUUCUAGACUUAAUUACCUUGUAGACGAUAGAAAAAAGAGAAAAAAAAUAACUUGAAGGAUGUAUACAAUAGUAAAAUGAUCAAAGGAAAGUUUGAAAAAAUGAUCAAAGGAAAGUUUGAAAAAAUGAAAUCUUGAGUGGACUUGACUUGUAAAAGUCAUCAAAUCAAUAUUGGCAUUAAAUACCGCCCUGAAGAAGGUAAAAAAU